CAACAUGAUCCUCUUCUAAAAUUUUUAAGCUGUCUACAUCAAAAUCAUUAGAAAAUACAAUAUUCAGCUUAUCAUCAUGACUUGAAUCAAAACAUUUUUGACUUAGACGAUCUACAGUAUUAACACCAUACACAUAAGUCACAUCACUAAGAUACUUCAUAUCAUCAUAAAUAUUAAAUUUUACAAUUUCUCCAUUAAAUUCCAUAAUGAGUGUAUCAUCCUACACAUCUAUCUUCGUUUUCGUCAUACUGAGGAAAGGUAUUCCAAGCAAAAUAUUAUAGGGAUUAGAUGAUUUAUCAUCUUCCAUAUCUACCACAUAAUCAUCAAUAGAAAAAAUGAGAUUAUCAACUUUGAUAAACACAUCCUCUAGAACUACUUCAAGAUAAGCAACUGAUCUAUCGGCUAGGUGCAUUAUAACACCCGUUUCUUUUAAUGGACCAGCAUUCAAUUUUGAGUAAAUAAACAAUGGCAUAACAUUUAUUUAUGCUCCUAAAUCACACAUGGCUUCCAUUAU
Molecule: long non-coding RNA, 514 nt
Filed under: Carica papaya (papaya)
Lineage: Eukaryota; Viridiplantae; Streptophyta; Magnoliopsida; Brassicales; Caricaceae
Description: long non-coding RNA (CPAP_LNC008313)
Source: RNAcentral